GGAACAAUAGCUCAAUGGUUAGAGCAUCGGACUCAUAAUCCGUGGGUUGAAAGUUCAAGUCUUUCUUGUUCCA
RNAcentral lists this transfer RNA (73 nucleotides) under Spirochaetia bacterium. RNAcentral describes it as "tRNA-Met". It matches the Rfam family "tRNA". From Rfam's summary of the family: Transfer RNA (tRNA) molecules are approximately 80 nucleotides in length. Their secondary structure includes four short double-helical elements and three loops (D, anti-codon, and T loops). The record is from RNAcentral. Lineage: Bacteria; Pseudomonadati; Spirochaetota; Spirochaetia.